GACAGAGGGUGCAAACGUUGCUCGGAAUUACUGGGCGUAAAGCGCGUGUAGGCUGCUCCGCAAGUCGGAUGUGAAAGCCCUGGGCUCAACCUAGGAAGUGCAUUCGAAACUGCAGAGCUGGAGUCCUGGAGAGGAAGGCGGAAUUCUCGGUGUAGAGGUGAAAUUCGUAGAUAUCGAGAGGAACACCGGUGGCGAAGGCGGCCUUCUGGACAGUGACUGACGCUGAGACGCGAAAGCGUGGGGAGCAAACAGG
RNAcentral lists this ribosomal RNA (253 nucleotides) under uncultured bacterium. RNAcentral describes it as "partial 16S ribosomal RNA". It matches the Rfam family "Bacterial small subunit ribosomal RNA", at positions 524 to 776 of the family's 1533-position model. The record is from RNAcentral.